AGAGUUUGAUCCUGGCUCAGGACGAACGCUGGCGGCGUGCUUAACACAUGCAAGUCGAACGGAAAGGCCCUUCGGGGUACUCGAGUGGCGAACGGGUGAGUAACACGUGGGUGAUCUGCCCUGCACUUUGGGAUAAGCCUGGGAAACUGGGUCUAAUACCGAAUAUGACCAUGCACUUCCUGGUGUGUGGUGGAAAGCUUUUGCGGUGUGGGAUGGGCCCGCGGCCUAUCAGCUUGUUGGUGGGGUAAUGGCCUACCAAGGCGACGACGGGUAGCCGGCCUGAGAGGGUGACCGGCCACACUGGGACUGAGAUACAGCCCAGACUCCUACGGGAGGCAGCAGUGGGGAAUAUUGCACAAUGGGCGCAAGCCUGAUGCAGCGACGCCGCGUGAGGGAUGACGGCCUUCGGGUUGUAAACCUCUUUCAGCACAGACGAAGCGCAAGUGACGGUAUGUGCAGAAGAAGGACCGGCCAACUACGUGCCAGCAGCCGCGGUAAUACGUAGGGUCCGAGCGUUGUCCGGAAUUACUGGGCGUAAAGAGCUCGUAGGUGGUUUGUCGCGUUGUUCGUGAAAACUCACAGCUUAACUGUGGGCGUGCGGGCGAUACGGGCAGACUUGAGUACUGCAGGGGAGACUGGAAUUCCUGGUGUAGCGGUGGAAUGCGUAGAUAUCAGGGGGAACACCGGUGACGAAGGCGGGUCUCUGGGCAGUAACUGACGCUGAGGAGCGAAAGCGUGGGGAGCGAACAGGAUUAGAUACCCCGGUAGUCC
RNAcentral lists this ribosomal RNA (771 nucleotides) under uncultured bacterium. RNAcentral's name for it is "bacterial SSU rRNA". It matches the Rfam family "Bacterial small subunit ribosomal RNA", at positions 8 to 796 of the family's 1533-position model. The record is from RNAcentral.